RNAcentral lists this ribosomal RNA (253 nucleotides) under uncultured bacterium. RNAcentral's name for it is "partial 16S ribosomal RNA". It matches the Rfam family "Bacterial small subunit ribosomal RNA", at positions 524 to 776 of the family's 1533-position model. The record is from RNAcentral.
GACGAACCGAGCGAACGUUGUUCGGAAUCACUGGGCUUAAAGGGCGCGUAGGCGGGUGCUCAAGUCCGGGGUGAAAUCCUCCAGCUCAACUGGGGAGGGUCAUUCGAUAAUGAUCGACUCGAAGGCAGGAGAGGGUAGUGGAAUUCCCGGUGUAGUGGUGAAAUGCGUAGAUAUCGGGAGGAACACCAGUGGCGAAGGCGACUACCUGGCCUGUUCUUGACGCUGAGGCGCGAAAGCUAGGGGAGCAAACGGG